This 253-nucleotide ribosomal RNA is filed under the name uncultured bacterium. Its description in RNAcentral is "partial 16S ribosomal RNA". It matches the Rfam family "Bacterial small subunit ribosomal RNA", at positions 524 to 776 of the family's 1533-position model. The record is from RNAcentral.
UACGAAGGGUGCAAGCGUUACUCGGGAUUACUGGGCGUAAAGCGUGCGUAGGUGGUUUGUUAAGUCUGUUGUGAAAGCCCCGGGCUCAACCUGGGAAUGGCAAUGGAUACUGGCAAGCUAGAGUGCGGUAGAGGGUAGUGGAAUUCCCGGUGUAGCGGUGAAAUGCGUAGAGAUCGGGAGGAAGGCCGGUGGCGAAGGCGGCGCUCUGGAACAUUUCUGACGCUGAGGCUCGAAAGCGUGGGGAGCAAACAGG